AGAGUUUGAUCAUGGCUCAGAUUGAACGCUGGCGGCAGGCCUAACACAUGCAAGUCGAACGGUAACAGGAAGCAGCUUGCUGCUUCGCUGACGAGUGGCGGACGGGUGAGUAAUGUCUGGGAAACUGCCUGAUGGAGGGGGAUAACUACUGGAAACGGUGGCUAAUACCGCAUAACGUCGCAAGACCAAAGAGGGGGACCUUCGGGCCUCUUGCCAUCAGAUGUGCCCAGAUGGGAUUAGCUUGUUGGUGAGGUAACGGCUCACCAAGGCGACGAUCCCUAGCUGGUCUGAGAGGAUGACCAGCCACACUGGAACUGAGACACGGUCCAGACUCCUACGGGAGGCAGCAGUGGGGAAUAUUGCACAAUGGGCGCAAGCCUGAUGCAGCCAUGCCGCGUGUAUGAAGAAGGCCUUCGGGUUGUAAAGUACUUUCAGCGGGGAGGAAGGUGUUGCGGUUAAUAACCGCAGCAAUUGACGUUACCCGCAGAAGAAGCACCGGCUAACUCCGUGCCAGCAGCCGCGGUAAUACGGAGGGUGCAAGCGUUAAUCGGAAUUACUGGGCGUAAAGCGCACGCAGGCGGUCUGUCAAGUCGGAUGUGAAAUCCCCGGGCUCAACCUGGGAACUGCAUUCGAAACUGGCAGGCUUGAGUCUUGUAGAGGGGGGUAGAAUUCCAGGUGUAGCGGUGAAAUGCGUAGAGAUCUGGAGGAAUACCGGUGGCGAAGGCGGCCCCCUGGACAAAGACUGACGCUCAGGUGCGAAAGCGUGGGGAGCAAACAGGAUUAGAUACCCUGGUAGUCCACGCCGUAAACGAUGUCUACUUGGAGGUUGUGCCCUUGAGGCGUGGCUUCCGGAGCUAACGCGUUAAGUAGACCGCCUGGGGAGUACGGCCGCAAGGUUAAAACUCAAAUGAAUUGACGGGGGCCCGCACAAGCGGUGGAGCAUGUGGUUUAAUUCGAUGCAACGCGAAGAACCUUACCUGGUCUUGACAUCCACAGAACUUUCCAGAGAUGGAUUGGUGCCUUCGGGAACUGUGAGACAGGUGCUGCAUGGCUGUCGUCAGCUCGUGUUGUGAAAUGUUGGGUUAAGUCCCGCAACGAGCGCAACCCUUAUCCUUUGUUGCCAGCGAUUAGGUCGGGAACUCAAAGGAGACUGCCAGUGAUAAACUGGAGGAAGGUGGGGAUGACGUCAAGUCAUCAUGGCCCUUACGACCAGGGCUACACACGUGCUACAAUGGCGCAUACAAAGAGAAGCGACCUCGCGAGAGCAAGCGGACCUCAUAAAGUGCGUCGUAGUCCGGAUUGGAGUCUGCAACUCGACUCCAUGAAGUCGGAAUCGCUAGUAAUCGUGGAUCAGAAUGCCACGGUGAAUACGUUCCCGGGCCUUGUACACACCGCCCGUCACACCAUGGGAGUGGGUUGCAAAAGAAGUAGGUAGCUUAACCUUCGGGAGGGCGCUUACCACUUUGUGAUUCAUGACUGGGGUGAAGUCGUAACAAGGUAACCGUAGGGGAACCUGCGGUUGGAUCACCUCCUU
This 1534-nucleotide ribosomal RNA is filed under the name Salmonella enterica subsp. enterica serovar Saintpaul str. SARA23. RNAcentral describes it as "bacterial SSU rRNA". It matches the Rfam family "Bacterial small subunit ribosomal RNA". Lineage: Bacteria; Pseudomonadati; Pseudomonadota; Gammaproteobacteria; Enterobacterales; Enterobacteriaceae. The record is from RNAcentral. RNAcentral also lists the same sequence under 1 other name.